Long non-coding RNA from Suricata suricatta (meerkat), 719 nucleotides. RefSeq lists it as uncharacterized. NCBI's taxonomy places the organism in Eukaryota, Metazoa, Chordata, Mammalia, Carnivora, Herpestidae. The transcript has 6 exons. The record is from RefSeq and is a predicted model, not a curated record.
AGAGUCCCUCCCACUGGGCUGCCAACAAUGUCCCGCUUGCCAGUUCUCCAGAACUUCUGACCUGAGAUGCUCCUCAGGGAUGAAGUGAGGGAGAAAAGAAAUCACUGCCGUGUGAUUGAGUGGAUGCUGUAAGGACUCCUCCCAGAGAAGCAGCCUGAUACCGCUCUUCCCUGCUAGCGAGCUGUGGCUCCAUCCUCUGUUCUCCAAGCUGACUAAAGCCACCAGGGCCGUUCUGAAGCAUGAGAAGAUUACCUGCUUCCAAUAAGCCAGAAACUGUGACAAGUGCUCUUAUUUGAAGGUUAAUGCAUUCAAGGCUUGCUGGGAUUGCUCACUGAUAAAAGGUACAUUCUGUCCACCGUACCCAUUCUAGGACCUAUUUCAAGUAUGUAGCCUUGAGAGAGAGCAGUGCAUUGUGGGGACCAUCUGGAUGAUGACGCAUGACAGAGCUCAGUUCAGGCCUCCGUGUAAACCUGUGGCAUUCUGGCAGGCGGUCGCUUGUAGCCACGCAAGACAACCUUGUAUCUGUGUCUUCCUUCACUCCUGGGAUGAAGAGUAGCAACAAAGACCAAAGCCACCUGACUUCUCCCUGUGUACAUCCCGUCCUUUCCUACUUGGAUGACCAGACACUGCUUUCUCCAGCUCCUAUCAAUGGGUACCAUUUCUCAUGGCCUGGAGAAACACAUUCAUUCUCAAGAAAAGGAAAGGCUGACUAGGGAUCC